Molecule: ribosomal RNA, 490 nt
Filed under: uncultured bacterium
Lineage: Bacteria
Description: partial 16S ribosomal RNA
Rfam family: Bacterial small subunit ribosomal RNA
Source: RNAcentral
ACUCAAAUGAAUAGACGGGGAGGCACACAACCAGUGGAACAUGUGGUUCAAUUCGAUACGAACCGAAGAACCUCACCAGGGCUUGAAAUACAAGUGAAAUCUUGAUGAAAGUCGAGACCUCCGCAAGGACAGUUGUACAGGUGCUGCAUGGCUGUCGUCAGUUCGUUCCGUGAGGAGUGCCCUUAAGUGGGACAACGAACGCAACCCCCAUCUUGUGUUAUAUUUGUCACAAGAGACUGCCCUGACUUUGUCGGGGAGGAAGGAGGGGCAGACGUCAAGUCAGCAUGGUCCUUAUGCCCUGGGCUACACACAUGUUACAAUGGGUAUGACAAUGAGCUCUGCAAGCCUGCAAAGGCAAGCCAAUCUCAUAAACAUACUCUCAGUGGGGAUUGAGGUCUGCAACCCGACCUCAUGAACGUGGAAUUGGUAGUAAUCGCGGAUCAGCUAUGCCGCGGUGAAUACGUUCUUGCCUCUUGCACACACCGCCCGU